RNAcentral lists this ribosomal RNA (420 nucleotides) under uncultured bacterium. RNAcentral's name for it is "bacterial SSU rRNA". It matches the Rfam family "Bacterial small subunit ribosomal RNA", at positions 356 to 773 of the family's 1533-position model. The record is from RNAcentral.
GAGGAAUAUUGGUCAAUGGACGCAAGUCUGAACCAGCCAUGCCGCGUGCAGGAUGACGGUCCUAUGGAUUGUAAACUGCUUUUGUACGAGAAGAAACACUCCUAUGUACAGGAGCUUGACGGUAUCGUAAGAAUAAGGAUCGGCUAACUCCGUGCCAGCAGCCGCGGUAAUACGGAGGAUCCAAGCGUUAUCCGGAAUCAUUGGGUUUAAAGGGUCCGUAGGUGGUUUAGUAAGUCAGUGGUGAAAGCCCAUCGCUCAACGGUGGAACGGCCAUUGAUACUGCUGAACUUGAAUUACUGGGAAGUAACUAGAAUAUGGAGUGUAGCGGUGAAAUGCUUAGAUAUUACAUGGAAUACCAAUUGCGAAGGCAGGUUACUACCAGUUUAUUGACGCUGAUGGACGAAAGCGUGGGGAGCGAAC